RNAcentral lists this ribosomal RNA (199 nucleotides) under uncultured bacterium. RNAcentral describes it as "partial 16S ribosomal RNA". It matches the Rfam family "Bacterial small subunit ribosomal RNA", at positions 326 to 539 of the family's 1533-position model. The record is from RNAcentral.
ACGCUCGACACCUACGGGAUGCAGCAGUUGGGAAUAUUGGACAAUGGAGGAAACUCUGAUCCAGUGACGCCGCGUGAAGGAAGAAGGUCUUCGGAUUGUAAACUUAUUUUGUCAGGGAAGAAAAAUGACUGUACCUGAAGAAAAAGCACCGGCUAACUACGUGACAGCAGCCGCGGUAAUCUGAGCGGGCUGGCAAGGC